This 37-nucleotide non-coding RNA is filed under the name Trypanosoma brucei brucei. Lineage: Eukaryota; Euglenozoa; Kinetoplastea; Trypanosomatida; Trypanosomatidae. The record is from RNAcentral.
UAAUUAUCUGAAGUAGAAGAUGUAUGUAAAUUAAUUA